Molecule: ribosomal RNA, 492 nt
Filed under: uncultured bacterium
Lineage: Bacteria
Description: partial 16S ribosomal RNA
Rfam family: Bacterial small subunit ribosomal RNA
Source: RNAcentral
AGUGAACGCUGGCGGUAGGCCUAACACAUGCAAGUCGAACGGCAGCACAGUAAGAGCUUGCUCUUACGGGUGGCGAGUGGCGGACGUGUGAGGAAUACAUCGGAAUCUACUUUUUCGUGGGGGAUAACGUAGGGAAACUUACGCUAAUACCGCAUACGACCUACGGGUGAAAGCAUGGGAUCUUCUGACCUUGCGCGGUUGAAUGAGCCGAUGUCGGAUUUGCUGGUUGGCGGGGUAAAGGCCCACCAAGGCGACGAUCCGUAGCUGGUCUGAGAGGAUGAUCAGCCACACUGGAACUGAGACACGGUCCAGGCGACUACGGGAGGCAGCAGUGGGGAAUAUUGGACAAAGGGCGCAAGCCUGAUCCAGCCAGACCGAGUGGGUGAAGAAGGCCUUCGGGUUGUAAAGCCCUUUUGUUGGGAAAGAAAAGCAGCAGGUUAAUACCCCGCUGUUCUGACGGUAACCAAAGAAUAAGCACCGGCUAACUUCGUG